UUCGUUACUUAUUACUUAUUCCUAUUCGUUACUUAUUCGAUUUUUGAUAUCCUUCCCCCUUUUUAAUUGUUUAUAUUCUUAUCUCUGGUUAUAGUUCUAAAUUUGUUGAGGUAAAAUGACCUUUUUAUGACCUAUUUAUAUGUGUUUGUGCUCAACCGAUCCUGUUGCUUUAUGUUCGAUACUUAUUUGUUUCUUAUUUGAUUUUUAUACGUUCUACCUUUUAAAUGUUUUAUAUUCGUAUGUUUGAAGAUCUGGUUCUUGGUUUCGGAAGAGGUGAAAUCACCUUUUAGCGCUUGUAUAAAAAUGAAGAUGUGGUAUGAUCGCCAAUGAGACAACUCCCCACAAUAGACCAAAAUGACACAGAAAUUAACAACUACAGGUCACGAUACGGCCUUCAACAAUAAGCAAAGCCCAUACCGCAUGGUCAGCUAUAAAACAUGUUAGCGGGGUGUACAUCGUUUCGGAGCUUGACUAAUACCUUGUUUAUAACACGCGUAUUAUACGUUGCACCUUUUAGAAAAUGAUUUUCAAUUGUGUUCUUGUCUCUGGCGGUAACUAUGUGUUCUUAGAGAUGAAAUCACCCUAUUAGCACGUAUGUACCCGUUCCAGCGCUCGGUUUAUACCCUGUUACUUAUUCGUUCCUUAAUCGCUUUUAAUACGCGUGGUAUACGUUGCACCUUUUAAAAAAAGGAUUUUAAAUUGUUUUCUUGUUUCUAGUGGUAGAUUGCGUUUCUAAGAGGUGAUAUAACCCUAUCAGCGCGUAUGUAGCAGUUUCAGCGCUCGACUGAUACCC
RNAcentral lists this long non-coding RNA (793 nucleotides) under Mytilus galloprovincialis (Mediterranean mussel). The record is from RNAcentral. Lineage: Eukaryota; Metazoa; Mollusca; Bivalvia; Mytilida; Mytilidae.